This 426-nucleotide ribosomal RNA is filed under the name uncultured cyanobacterium. RNAcentral describes it as "bacterial SSU rRNA". It matches the Rfam family "Bacterial small subunit ribosomal RNA", at positions 356 to 795 of the family's 1533-position model. Lineage: Bacteria; Bacillati; Cyanobacteriota. The record is from RNAcentral.
GGGGAAUUUUCCGCAAUGGGCGAAAGCCUGACGGAGCAAUACCGCGUGAGGGAAGACGGCCCAUGGGUUGUAAACCUCUUUUUUCAGUGAGGAAACAAAUGACGUGUAGCUGAAGAAUAAGCAUCGGCUAACUCCGUGCCAGCAGCCGCGGUAAGACGGAGGAUGCAAGUGUUAUCCGGAAUCACUGGGCGUAAAGCGUCCGCAGGUGGAACUUCAAGUCUGCUGUNNNNGAGUUUGGCUCAACCAAACAAAGGCAGUGGAAACUGAAGAACUAGAGUACGUUCGGGGUAGAGGGAAUUCCUGGUGUAGCGGUGAAAUGCGUAGAGAUCAGGAAGAACACCGGUGGCGAAAGCGCUCUACUAGGCCGUAACUGACGCUGAGGGACGAAAGCUAGGGGAGCGAAUGGGAUUAGAUACCCCAGUAGUC